UCCCUGAUCGCCCAGCGGUUAGGACUCAGUGCUUUCACUGCUGAGGGCCUGGGUUCAAUCCCUGGUCAAGGGA
RNAcentral lists this transfer RNA (73 nucleotides) under Bos taurus (domestic cattle). It matches the Rfam family "tRNA". From Rfam's summary of the family: Transfer RNA (tRNA) molecules are approximately 80 nucleotides in length. Their secondary structure includes four short double-helical elements and three loops (D, anti-codon, and T loops). Further hydrogen bonds mediate the characteristic L-shaped molecular structure. tRNAs have two regions of fundamental functional importance: the anti-codon, which is responsible for specific mRNA codon recognition, and the 3' end, to which the tRNAs corresponding amino acid is attached (by aminoacyl-tRNA synthetases). tRNAs cope with the degeneracy of the genetic code in two manners: having more than one tRNA (with a specific anti-codon) for a particular amino acid; and 'wobble' base-pairing, i.e. permitting non-standard base-pairing at the 3rd anti-codon position. Lineage: Eukaryota; Metazoa; Chordata; Mammalia; Artiodactyla; Bovidae. The record is from Rfam by way of RNAcentral.